UCCCUAUGGGGUGCAGCAGGCGCGAAAACUUUACAAUGCGGGAAACCGUGAUAAGGGAACUCCGAGUGCCCGUUAAAUCGGGCUGUCCAUCUGUGUAAAUAACAGGUGAAGAAAGGGCCGGGCAAGACCGGUGCCAGCCGCCGCGGUAAUACCGGCGGCUCGAGUGGUGGCCACUAUUACUGGGCUUAAAGCGUUCGUAGCUGGUUUGUUAAGUCUCUGGGGAAAUCUUCCGGCUUAACCGGAAGGCGUCUCAGGGAUACUGGCAGACUAGGGACCGGAAGAGGUGAGGGGUACUCCAGGGGUAGGAGUGAAAUCCUGUAAUCCUUGGGGGAUCACCUGUGGCGAAGGCGCCUCACCAGAACGGCUCCGACAGUGAGGGACGAAAGCUGGGGGAGCAAACCGGAUUAGAUACCCGGGUAGUCCCAGCCGUAAACGAUGUGCGUUAGGUGUAUCGGUGACCACGAGUCACCGAGGUGCCGAAGAGAAAUCGUGAAACGUACCGCCUGGGAAGUACGGUCGCAAGGCUGAAACUUAAAGGAAUUGGCGGGGGAGCACCACAACAGGUGGAGCCUGCGGUUUAAUCGGACUCAACGCCGGAAAACUCACCAGAUAAGACAGCUGAAUGAUAGUCGGGCUGAAGACUCUACUUGACUAGCUGAGAGGAAGUGCAUGGCCA
This 676-nucleotide ribosomal RNA is filed under the name uncultured archaeon. Its description in RNAcentral is "bacterial SSU rRNA". It matches the Rfam family "Archaeal small subunit ribosomal RNA", at positions 319 to 1000 of the family's 1478-position model. The record is from RNAcentral.